GUCCACGCCGUAAACGAUGUGUGCUAGUUGUCAGGCUCUUAGAGUUUGGUGACGGAGAGAAAUCAUUAAGCACACCGCCUGGGGAGUACGGCCGCAAGGUUAAAACUCAAAGGAAUUGACGGGGACCCGCACAAGCGGUGGAGCAUGUUGUUUAAUUCGAAGCAACGCGAAGAACCUUACCCACUCUUGACAUCCUCCUUGGGACUUUCAGAGAUGAUUGUCUUCGGUUCGGCCGGGGGAGUGACAGGUGCUGCAUGGCU
Molecule: ribosomal RNA, 260 nt
Filed under: uncultured bacterium
Lineage: Bacteria
Description: partial 16S ribosomal RNA
Rfam family: Bacterial small subunit ribosomal RNA
Source: RNAcentral